RNAcentral lists this ribosomal RNA (253 nucleotides) under uncultured bacterium. Its description in RNAcentral is "partial 16S ribosomal RNA". It matches the Rfam family "Bacterial small subunit ribosomal RNA", at positions 524 to 776 of the family's 1533-position model. The record is from RNAcentral.
UACGUAGGGGGCAAGCGUUGUCCGGAUUUAUUGGGCGUAAAGAGCGUGUAGGCGGCCAUUCAGGUCAGCUGUGAAAACUCGAGGCUCAACCUCGAGACGCCGGUGGAAACCAUCAGACUAGAGUCCGGAAGAGGAGAGUGGAAUUCCUGGUGUAGCGGUGAAAUGCGCAGAUAUCAGGAAGAACACCCGUGGCUAAGGCGGCUCUCUAGUACGGUACUGACGCUGAGACGCGAAAGCGUGGGGAGCGAACAGG